Molecule: long non-coding RNA, 593 nt
Organism: Leopardus geoffroyi (Geoffroy's cat)
Lineage: Eukaryota; Metazoa; Chordata; Mammalia; Carnivora; Felidae
Exons: 4
Source: RefSeq, a predicted model, not a curated record
GGGACCCGGUCUGACGUGGACCCCGGUUUGACGUCGAACGCAGUCUGACGUCGGACCCACCUGACGUCGGCUCACUCUGACGUCGGCGCUGUCUGACUCCAGUCUGAGGCCGUCCUGGUUUUGAAGUCAGCCCGGACGCCGGCCGACAGUUUCCACACCCAGCCUGGAAACCGAAACGCUCACAUGAAGCCUGAAAGCCCAUGAAGGGAACGACUGCGACGCUGGGAUCCCGAGACGGGGCCUCCCCGCCUGGAGAGGCAGCCAGCGAGCGGCAGGUUCGGCGGCUGGGCAGCUGAGAGAGUCAUUACUGUGAUCUGUGGGACAUUCUAUACAUGAGCUGAUACUUCUCUUCCUUCUCCUCAGUCUCUAAGAAUGAGUCCAGACCCAUUCUGGGACUCAGAGAACUCUUUCUGGACCGUCUCUUCCCUUUCACCGCCAGCCAUCAUCUCCCAUCCAUCAGUUUGAAAAGAAUAUCGUUAAAUGUCUUAGCUACUGCUGGUUGAGCUGCAGCUCAGGAAGCUCUCAUCUCUCCUCUUUGACAACGUUGUUCAAGAAAUGUUGUCUGUCUGCAAUAAAUGUUUUACCUCCCCUGC